RNAcentral lists this ribosomal RNA (460 nucleotides) under uncultured bacterium. RNAcentral's name for it is "partial 16S ribosomal RNA". It matches the Rfam family "Bacterial small subunit ribosomal RNA", at positions 338 to 795 of the family's 1533-position model. The record is from RNAcentral.
CCUACGGGAGGCAGCAGUGAGGAAUAUUGGUCAAUGGACGAGAGUCUGAACCAGCGAAGUAGCGUGAAGGAUGACUGCCCUAUGGGUUGUAAACUUCUUUUAUAUGGGAAUAAAAUGUUCCACGUGUGGGAUUUUGUAUGUACCAUAUGAAUCCGGAUCGGCUAACUCCGUGCCAGCAGCCGCGGUAAUACGGAGGAUCUGAGCGUUAUCCGGAUUUAUUGGGUUUAAAGGGAGCGUAGGUGGAUUGUUAAGUCAGUUGUGAAAGUUGGCGGCUCAACCGUAAAAUUGCAGUUGAAACUGGCAGGCUUGAGUACAGUAGAGGUAGGCGGAAUUCGUGGUGUAGCGGUGAAAUGCUUAGAUAUCACGAAGAACUCCGAUGGCGAAGGCAGUUCACUGGACUGCAACUGACACUGAGGCUCGAAAGUGUGGGUAGCAAACAGGAUUAGAUACCCGUGUAGUC